GAUGAAGAACGUAGCGAAAUGCGAUAAGUAAUGUGAAUUGCAGAAUUCAGUGAAUCAUCGAAUCUUUGAAGGCACAUUGCGCCCCCUGGUAUUCCGGGGGGCAUGCCUGUUCGAGCGUCAUUUCACCACUCAAGCCUCGCUUGGUAUUGGGCAACGCGGUCCGCCGCGUGCCUCAAAUCGUCCGGCUGGGUCUUCUGUCCCCUAAGCGUUGUGGAAACUAUUCGCUAAAGGGUGUUCGGGAGGCUACGCCGUAAAACAACCCCAUUUCUAAGGUUGACCUCGGAUCAGGUAGGGAUACCCGCUGAACUUAAGCAUAUCAAUAAGCGGAGGA
RNAcentral lists this unclassified non-coding RNA (331 nucleotides) under soil metagenome. RNAcentral's name for it is "partial contains 5.8S ribosomal RNA, internal transcribed spacer 2, and large subunit ribosomal RNA". The stretch from base 1 to 120 matches the Rfam family "5.8S ribosomal RNA", at positions 35 to 154 of the family's 154-position model. The record is from RNAcentral.